CUAAGAGAACCAGGCGCUCUU
RNAcentral lists this non-coding RNA (21 nucleotides) under Arabidopsis thaliana (thale cress). Lineage: Eukaryota; Viridiplantae; Streptophyta; Magnoliopsida; Brassicales; Brassicaceae. The record is from RNAcentral.